CAUCCUACUGGCAUACCCCCUCACUGCCGAUGCGCUCUUCUGCCCUAUCUGCCUGCCGCCCCGACAUUUCCACCUCCUCGGGGGAGUCACCAGGCACCUGAAGAGAUGCCACGGCAAAUCCGUCGCCUUCAGCUGCGCCCGCUGCAGCCUGCCCUUUGAAACUCAGAAGAGGUGCAAGGCACACCAGGCCAGCUGCAAGAGACCCCGUGCAGCGGCAGCUCCGGCUCCGGCCUCCCGCUCCUCUGUGCCCCGGUCCGCUGCUCCUGCACCACGAGGUAACCGGGGGCCCCCCCCAGCCGCUACCCCGUACCCCGCCCCAGUCUCCGAGCCAAUGGCCCAGGGCCCCGCCGCCGAGACGUCGCCCCCCGCAACGGGAAACGCCGACCGAGCCCCUGCCGGCAGGAGACCCAUCACAUCCUCCCAGGUCACCCGGAAGCUCUCGGAGCUGAGGCGCCUCAGUGCCCUCCCGGCGCUCAACCAGCACGACCCCACCGCCCGCAGGACCAGUGCCCCACCAGGUGUGGCCGCCCAAAACUCUGCCCCCGAUAGAACCGAUGCUGGCUCGCAGACCACACCGCGGGCACCGGACACCAGAAAAGCCGACGCGACCCCGCGGCCCGCACCGCGAACCCCACCCGCUGGGGCUGCGGGGCCCACCCCCCAGCUCACUCCGCAAACUGCUGGUGCUAGGGAGGUCAGUACUGCGGCCAGUCCACAGCGCCAGCCCCCCAUCGCCAGACGGUCCGUCACGGCCCCAGGCGCCACCAGGCCAAUCCCCACCGCCAGAAGGUCGCACGCUCCCACAGCGACCCGUCGGUCAAUACCAGCACACGGAGGUCCUGCCACCACCCGUGCCCCCACCGACCUGAUCCGGACCCCACCAACGGCGGACAACAACACCUCUCCGCCGGCGACUACGCCCCAGGACCCAGAGGUACGGUCUCCAGAUCCACAAGUGGGACACCCUGUCGACCACGCAGCCAACCUGCCGCCCAUGCCAAUAGAGGGACCCGAGGACCAGCGACCGGCGGCUAGACCGGCCACGCCCUGGCAGACCACUUGGAUCGGGGAACUCCAAACAGCUGCCUCCUUUGCGGAAUUCGACUCGUGCGUCAACAGGCUCACCCAGGAGCUGGCCACAGAGAUCGCUUUCCGGAGAACCCCGAACCAGGAGAACACCCGGCCUACCCCCAGACGGCCCCCCCCACACCGUGGCACAAACACGAGGGAAGCUAGACGGAGGAACACUAGCCGCCGCUAUGACCCGGCAGCGGCGUCAAGGAUCCAGAAGCUGUAUCGGACUAACCGCCUCAAGGCCGUGAGAGAGGUCCUCGACGGGCCCCCGUCCUACUGCACGAUCCCGCCCGAACGCCUCCACAGCUACUUCCACGGGGUGUUCGGUGGCGUGCCCAGGAACGACGUGCCGCGCCCGGAGUGCCUCCACCCCCUGCCCCGCAUCUCAGACUCCGAUGGCCUGGAGGCCAACUUCACCCCCAAAGAGGUGAUGGCCAGGCUCUCCAGAACGAAGAACACAGCGCCCGGAAAAGACAGCAUCCCCUACAGCCUCCUAAAAAGACGUGACCCUGGCUGCCUUGUGCUCUCCAGUAUAUUCAACCUCUGCAGGCAAUUCAGCCAAACCCCCACCUCCUGGAAGAGGGCCAUGACCGUCCUUAUACAUAAGAAAGGAGAGCGUGACGACCCCGGCAAUUGGAGACCCAUCUCCCUUUGCUCCACAAUGUAUAAACUUUACGCCAGCUGCCUUGCAGCCAGAAUCACGGAGUGGGCGACGGCCGGAGGGGCCAUCAGCCCUGCCCAGAAGGGCUUCAUGCCGUCAGAGGGGUGCUACGAGCACAACUUCCUGCUCCAAACCGUCAUUCAGA
Long non-coding RNA from Chrysemys picta bellii (western painted turtle), 1880 nucleotides. The record is from Ensembl. Lineage: Eukaryota; Metazoa; Chordata; Testudines; Emydidae.